This 1146-nucleotide ribosomal RNA is filed under the name Lepidodasys unicarenatus. RNAcentral describes it as "bacterial SSU rRNA". It matches the Rfam family "Eukaryotic small subunit ribosomal RNA", at positions 116 to 1263 of the family's 1831-position model. Lineage: Eukaryota; Metazoa; Gastrotricha; Macrodasyida; Lepidodasyidae. The record is from RNAcentral.
UUUAUUGGAUUGAUAUUAUGUGGAUAACUGUGGCAAUUCUAGAGCUAAUACAUGCAAUAAGACUCUGACCGUAAGGAAAGAGUGCUUUUAUUAGAUUAAAACCAGUCAAACCAAUGGUUUGAAAUUAUGGUGACUCUGGAAAACAUAGUUGAUCGCAUAGCCUUGUGCUAGCGACAUAUCUUAUAAAUGUCUGCCCUAUCAACUUGUGAUGGUAGGUGAUAUGCCUACCAUGGUUAUAACGGGUAACGGAGAAUCAGGGUUUGAUUCCGUAGAGGGAGCAUGAGAAACGGCUACCACAUCCAAGGAAGGCAGCAGGCGCGCAAAUUACCCACUCCCGGUACGGGGAGGUAGUGACGAAAAUAACAAUACGAGCCUUUGUUAAGGCCUCGUAAUUGGAAUGGGAACAAUUUAAGUCCUUUAUCAAGGAUCAAUUGGAGGGCAAGUCUGGUGCCAGCAGCCGCGGUAAUUCCAGCUCCAAUAGCGUAUACUAAAGUUGUUGCGUUUAAACAGCUCGUAGUUGGAUCUCGGGUACAAUACUGUGGUCUCCCUAAUGGUUGUACUGCAGUAUUACCCUGUUAGCUAGUUGUUUCUCAGUGCUCUUAAUUCUAAUAAUUCUAAUAAUUCUAGCGCUUUUACUUUGAAAAAAUUAGAGUGCUCAGAGCAAGCGUUGUGCUCGAAUAUCGUUGCAUGGAAUAAUAAAAUAUGACCUUUGGUCUAUUUUGUUGGUUUUCGGAACAGAGGUAAUGAUUAAGAGGGACAGACGGGGACAUUCGUAUUCCGCCGUUAGAGGUGAAAUUCUUGGAUCGGCGGAAGACGAACUACGGCGAAAGCAUUUGUCAAGAAUGUAUUCAUUGAUCAAGAACGAAAGUCAGAGGUUCGAAGGCGAUCAGAUACCGCCCUAGUUCUGACCAUAAACGAUGCCAACUGGCGAUCUGUCACAGUUACUAUAAUGACUUGACAGGCAGCUUUCGGUCGGAAAACCAAAGUGUUUGGGCGACGGGGGAAGUAUGGCUGCAAAGCUGGAACUUAAAGGAAUUGACGGAACAGCACCACCAGGAGUGGAGCCUGCGGCUUAAUUUGACUCAACACGGGAAAUCUCACCCGGCCCGGACACUGUAAGGAUUGACAGAUUGAGAGCUCUUUCUU